Carassius carassius (crucian carp) is the source of this 2757-nucleotide long non-coding RNA. RefSeq lists it as uncharacterized. NCBI's taxonomy places the organism in Eukaryota, Metazoa, Chordata, Actinopteri, Cypriniformes, Cyprinidae. The record is from RefSeq and is a predicted model, not a curated record. The transcript is spliced from 2 exons.
GCCUAUGUGUGUGUGUGUGUGUGUGCAUAUAAUAAACCACAUCUCUUUAGCAGACUCACCCUUCUCUCUGGGUUCUGCUGAACCUGUUGCACCUUGGUUCCCCACUGCUGCGCUGACAGCCUCCUUGCCUCUUUGAAUCUCCCCAGCCGUUUUCUGUAACCCUGACCUCUCUUAGGGAGUUUAUGGCCAUUUUAGUGUCCAAUAUGUUUCCAUUCCUUGGAUGAACAACUUCCUUCCAAUCCCCUUGGCUCUUGGCUCCCUCCUCUCAUUUUGUCUCCUCUGCUAUGCCUCUUGACUCAUGGUCCAUCCCCUCCCCAAUCAAAUCUCUGCUCACAGGUUAACCGUGAGCAUUAAAUAAUGUGAACAUUAAAUAUUGAUUUGAGUUAAUAGAAUUGUUUUUUUUUGUCUUAAUUUAAAAAAAAAUCUGAAUUCCAAGAUUCAAAGAAAGUUUUUUUCAUUGUUCCACGCCUCAGAUUUCUGAGUUUGCAUCUCACACUUUUUUUUUUUCUUCACUUUUUUUUCCACCGAAAAAAUAAAAAAGGCAAUUUUAACUUUUUAUCUCAUAAUUUGGACUUCAUUGUGUCGGAAUUGUGAGAUAUAAACUUAGAUCACUGUGUAAUUAUAGGAACAAUAGGUCCAUACUGAGGGUUUGCACUCAUUCAACUCCUUUUUAUUGUUUCACAUCCUUUCUGUAUCUGUACAAAAAUUCAUAUUUUGUUUCAUUCAGUUGCUAUCUUACAAGCACUCAUUUUGAGUGUAGCAUUGAUUGAAUGUUUGCAAAGCUGCUCUGUAUCCUAUACUCUACAAGCAGUAUUUCUGUUGCACUGCAAGUGAUUUGUAUUAUAAUGAUAAGAUUCCCAAUUGCUCUGAGAUAUGAAACUUAAAAGAGUUUUGGCAAGUCAGCCAGCCUUGUGUUACUGAGUAUGAGAGCUUUUGCAAAUAACCUCCAGGUGGAUGGGACUCUUUGAUUUGUUCAGAAUGUUAAAUGAAGUGCAUCAACGAUUCAGAUUACAGAUGUCCAAUCAGAAAGCAAGUGUUGCCUUUGUGGGCGCUUGCACAAUGUAGUUCAAUAGAGAGACAAAACAGUGUCUCUAUUGUAUUACAACUUCAUGUAGCAUGAUAUAAUCACCCACAAUUCCUGUCCACUCACUCUCCUGCUGUCAUGCCAUUCAAGUGUGAGACAUUAAUUGUUGUAAACGCUUUAAUUAAAUCUUUCUGUUUCAGCCUUUCUAUUCAUUUCCUCAUUUCUCUCAGGAUUUGUGUCAAAUGUUGUCCUGACACAGAUUUUCUUAUGACAGUGGCCUAUUUAUUGCCUUUAAUUGAUGAACAAAGAUGCAGUAUACAGAUACAGUUUCACUUCGCCAAUCAGUGGUCCUGAACAUGGAAUUUUUAAUUGUUGCUCUUGAAAAGUACUCCGAAGUUUUCUGGAAGCUCAGCUCAUGGGAACAACAUCAUAGGGUGCUUUUGGAGGGGACUAUGUUUAGACCAGUGAUUCUUAAACCACAAGAUGAUAAUUAUUUAAAAGAACAUGUAUUGAAAUGCUAAAAUUACAAUUUCAAAUAAGCUAGAAGUUAAAUAAGUUAACAGCAUCAAUAAAGCAUGUAUUUUGUUUUAACAAAGGAAUAGUGCUUUAAAGCAUUCAUUUCAUGUUUUGAUAUUCAUUGCUAUUCAAUUUUAAUUAACAGUUCUAGUUUCUUAUAAUGGGGGCUUUUGAGCAUUGACUUUGAGAACCACUGAUCUAGACUAGAGCUCUUGUAAUACCAUUCUUGACGUAAUACUGAAAUGUAGUUUAAUGAAACAUUGUGGCUAGGUGCAGUACUUAAGAUUUAUUCAAAUUGAAUGUAAUUAGAUUGCAAAUGCACGUAAAGAGAAAAUUCAGUCCCUUGGUUCACUUAGUCUUUCAGCAGCUGUAGUGUUGCUGGUAUUUCCAAUGUUUCAGUGUCAGCACUACUGAUAUUGACUUUUAAUAGCUAGCGUCUGUCUGGAAGGGGUCAAAGUCAACAGCAGACUGACUGUUUGUACGGAAAGGUUUUUUAAGCCUUACACCUCUUUUACGCAACAUUACCAAAUCUCUUGCUCUCUAACUGUCUUCCUCUUGUCCUCUUACAAAAAUAUUGGAAACCUCUUGUUAAAUAAUAGCAUAUUAUUAAUAAUGACCCAUGAAUGACUCUGAAACCACUUACAAUCCAAUACAACUGUUCUAUAUUAAUUUUUAUGUUGUUUUGGUUUUACAGAAAUAGAAGGGAAGAAAAUGAACUUCGUAUGACAUAAUACUGACUUCCAGACCAAACCAUUUGGAUUUGAUACAAGCCCUCAGUGUUAUUCUGCAGGAGAACACUGGGAUGCCAAGAAGUGAAGGGCAGACUGAAGCUGCAUUUAAUCCCUUAACUGUUGAUGUCACUCACAACAUGAUCCAGUCUCAGAUAAAAAGACCCUCCGCCUAUAGGUAAGAAAAGUGAACCUGCGACCUCCAGGUGUCAGGCAUGCCAGUCUGUGGAGUAAAGAGCAGUUCGUUAGUUGAAUUGCCAUUUGAUGCUUAAGUGUCUACCACAACAUCCUACAGUAACUGACAAACUAUGUCUUUACAUACACCCUUUCUCUCUCUUAAAAUCUGUCCUUUUUCAAGUCCAAGUAUUAUUCUGAAAGACUUUGUUCCAGUCCAGAUUUGAUGAACGUUAAACAUGAUAUUAUACUUUGUGCACCAACUGUUUUAGGAAAAACAAUGCGUUUUAUUAAAGUCACAUUCAUUUUCCUGCA